RNAcentral lists this ribosomal RNA (1268 nucleotides) under Sillago bassensis (western school sillago). Its description in RNAcentral is "partial 16S ribosomal RNA". It matches the Rfam family "Bacterial large subunit ribosomal RNA", at positions 598 to 2556 of the family's 2925-position model. The record is from RNAcentral. Lineage: Eukaryota; Metazoa; Chordata; Actinopteri; Sillaginidae.
CUCGUACCUUUUGCAUCAUGAUUUAGCUAGUAAAAUUUAAGCGAAGAGCACUUUAGUUUAAAACCCCGAAACUAGAUGAGCUACUCCGAGGCAGCCUACAAAUAGGGCAAACCCGUCUCUGUGGCAAAAGAGUGGGGAGAACUCCGAGUAGAGGUGACAAACCUACCGAAUCUAGUUAUAGCUGGUUGCUUGAGAAUUGGAUAGAAGUUCAGCCUCACGGCUUCUCCCUUCACCACCUUUAUACCUAAAGACAACCAGAGAAACCAUUGAGAGUUAAUCAAAGGAGGUACAGCUCCUUUGAUAAAAGACACAACUUUUUAAGCAGGGUAAAGAUCAUAAUUUGACAAGGCUAAAUGUCCUGGUGGGCCUAAGAGCAGCCAUCCAUUCAGAAAGCGUUAAAGCUUAAACAUAUCCGCCUCCCCCUAUUAUAACGAUAAUUUUAUCUUAACCCCCUAACCCAUACCAAGCCGUCCCAUGCCCCCAUGGGAGCGAUUAUGCUAAAAUGAGUAAUAAGAGAGCACGACUCUCUCCCCGCACACGUGUAUCUCGGAACGGACCCUCCACCGAGAAUUAACGGCCCCAAUCAAAGAGGGUAAUGAAUAACGAAAGAGAGAACAAGAAAAACACUCAACCUCCAACCGUUGACCCCACACUGGUGUGCCCUAUGGGAAAGACUAAAAGAAAAAGAAGGAACUCGGCAAACACAUCAAGCCUCGCCUGUUUACCAAAAACAUCGCCUCUUGCAAAAUCAACGAAUAAGAGGUCCCGCCUGCCCUGUGACAUAUAUGUUUAACGGCCGCGGUAUUUUGACCGUGCGAAGGUAGCGCAAUCACUUGUCCUUUAAAUGGGGACCUGUAUGAAUGGCACGACGAGGGCUUAACUGUCUCCUUUUUCAGGUCAAUGAAAUUGAUCUCCCCGUGCAGAAGCGGGGAUAUUAACAUAAGACGAGAAGACCCUAUGGAGCUUUAGACACUAAAGCAGACCACGUUAAUCAUACCCAAUCAAGGGAUUAAACUAUAUGGCCCCUGCCCUACUGUCUUUGGUUGGGGCGACCGCGGGGGAAUACAAAGCCCCCAUGUGGAACGGGAAUACCCUUCCUACAGCUGAGAGUUUCCACUCUAAUAACCAGAAUAUCUGACCUAUAAGAUCCGGCAAAGCCGAUCAACGGACCGAGUUACCCUAGGGAUAACAGCGCAAUCCCCUUUUAGAGCCCAUAUCGACAAGGGGGUUUACGACCUCGAUGUUGGAUCAGGACAUCCUAAUGGUGC